AACGAACGCUGGCGGCAUGCCUAACACAUGCAAGUCGAACGAGACCUUCGGGUCUAGUGGCGCACGGGUGCGUAACGCGUGGGAACCUGCCCCUAGGUUCGGAAUAACUCCCCGAAAGGGGUGCUAAUACCGGCUAAUGUCUUCGGACCAAAGAUUUAUCGCCUUUGGAUGGGCCCGCGUUGGAUUAGCUAGUUGGUAGGGUAAAAGCCUACCAAGGCGACGAUCCAUAGCUGGUCUGAGAGGAUGAUCAGCCACACUGGGACUGAGACACGGCCCAGACUCCUACGGGAGGCAGCAGUGGGGAAUAUUGGACAAUGGGCGAAAGCCUGAUCCAGCAAUGCCGCGUGAGUGAUGAAGGCCUUAGGGUUGUAAAGCUCUUUUACCCGGGAUGAUAAUGACAGUACCGGGAGAAUAAGCUCCGGCUAACUCCGUG
RNAcentral lists this ribosomal RNA (433 nucleotides) under uncultured bacterium. RNAcentral's name for it is "partial 16S ribosomal RNA". It matches the Rfam family "Bacterial small subunit ribosomal RNA", at positions 29 to 507 of the family's 1533-position model. The record is from RNAcentral.